CGAAUUCGCCCUUACGGUUACCUUGUUACGACUUCACCCCAGUCACCGGGCCUGCCUUCGGCUGCUCCGCCCCUUUCGGGUUCGGCCACAGACUUCGGGCAUCCCCGGCUCCCAUGGUGUGACGGGCGGUGUGUACAAGACCCGGGAACGUAUUCACCGCGGCGUUCUGAUCCGCGAUUACUAGCGAUUCCGGCUUCAUGUAGUCGGGUUGCAGACUACAAUCCGAACUGGGGCGCCGUUUUUGGGGUUCGCUCCGCGUCGCCGCUUCGCAUCCCUCUGUCGGCGCCAUUGUAGCACGUGUGUCGCCCAGGCCAUAAGGGGCAUGAUGAUUUGACGUCGUCCCCGCCUUCCUCCGGGUUGUCCCCGGCAGUCCCCGCAGAGUGCCCACCUUCACGUGCUGGCUACUGCGGGCAGGGGUUGCGCUCGUUGCGGGACUUAACCCAACAUCUCACGACACGAGCUGACGACAACCAUGCACCACCUGUCUCCCCUGCCCCAAAAGGGCUGGCCCCG
RNAcentral lists this ribosomal RNA (513 nucleotides) under uncultured bacterium. RNAcentral's name for it is "partial 16S ribosomal RNA". The record is from RNAcentral.